AAUGGGUCAGCGACUUAUAUUCUGUAGCAAGGUUAACCGAAUAGGGGAGCCGAAGGGAAACCGAGUCUUAACUGGGCGUUAAGUUGCAGGGUAUAGACCCGAAACCCGGUGAUCUAGCCAUGGGCAGGUUGAAGGUUGGGUAACACUAACUGGAGGACCGAACCGACUAAUGUUGAAAAAUUAGCGGAUGACUUGUGGCUGGGGGUGAAAGGCCAAUCAAACCGGGAGAUAGCUGGUUCUCCCCGAAAGCUAUUUAGGUAGCGCCUCGUGAAUUCAUCUCCGGGGGUAGAGCACUGUUUCGGCAAGGGGGUCAUCCCGACUUACCAACCCGAUGCAAACUGCGAAUACCGGAGAAUGUUAUCACGGGAGACACACGGCGGGUGCUAACGUCCGUCGUGAAGAGGGAAACAACCCAGACCGCCAGCUAAGGUCCCAAAGUCAUGGUUAAGUGGGAAACGAUGUGGGAAGGCCCAGACAGCCAGGAUGUUGGCUUAGAAGCAGCCAUCAUUUAAAGAAAGCGUAAUAGCUCACUGGUCGAGUCGGCCUGCGCGGAAGAUGUAACGGGGCUAAACCAUGCACCGAAGCUGCGGCAGCGACGCUUAUGCGUUGUUGGGUAGGGGAGCGUUCUGUAAGCCUGUGAAGGUGUGCUGUGAGGCAUGCUGGAGGUAUCAGAAGUGCGAAUGCUGACAUAAGUAACGAUAAAGCGGGUGAAAAGCCCGCUCGCCGGAAGACCAAGGGUUCCUGUCCAACGUUAAUCGGGGCAGGGUGAGUCGACCCCUAAGGCGAGGCCGAAAGGCGUAGUCGAUGGGAAACAGGUUAAUAUUCCUGUACUUGGUGUUACUGCGAAGGGGGGACGGAGAAGGCUAUGUUGGCCGGGCGACGGUUGUCCCGGUUUAAGCGUGUAGGCUGGUUUUCCAGGCAAAUCCGGAAAAUCAAGGCUGAGGCGUGAUGACGAGGCACUACGGUGCUGAAGCAACAAAUGCCCUGCUUCCAGGAAAAGCCUCUAAGCAUCAGGUAACAUCAAAUCGUACCCCAAACCGACACAGGUGGUCAGGUAGAGAAUACCAAGGCGCUUGAGAGAACUCGGGUGAAGGAACUAGGCAAAAUGGUGCCGUAACUUCGGGAGAAGGCACGCUGAUAUGUAGGUGAAGUCCCUUGCGGAUGGAGCUGAAAUCAGUCGAAGAUACCAGCUGGCUGCAACUGUUUAUUAAAAACACAGCACUGUGCAAACACGAAAGUGGACGUAUACGGUGUGACGCCUGCCCGGUGCCGGAAGGUUAAUUGAUGGGGUCAGCGCAAGCGAAGCUCUUGAUCGAAGCCCCGGUAAACGGCGGCCGUAACUAUAACGGUCCUAAGGUAGCGAAAUUCCUUGUCGGGUAAGUUCCGACCUGCACGAAUGGCGUAAUGAUGGCCAGGCUGUCUCCACCCGAGACUCAGUGAAAUUGAACUCGCUGUGAAGAUGCAGUGUACCCGCGGCAAGACGGAAAGACCCCGUGAACCUUUACUAUAGCUUGACACUGAACAUUGAGCCUUGAUGUGUAGGAUAGGUGGGAGGCUUUGAAGUGUGGACGCCAGUCUGCAUGGAGCCGACCUUGAAAUACCACCCUUUAAUGUUUGAUGUUCUAACGUGGACCCGUGAUCCGGGUUGCGGACAGUGUCUGGUGGGUAGUUUGACUGGGGCGGUCUCCUCCUAAAGAGUAACGGAGGAGCACGAAGGUUGGCUAAUCCUGGUCGGACAUCAGGAGGUUAGUGCAAUGGCAUAAGCCAGCUUGACUGCGAGCGUGACGGCGCGAGCAGGUGCGAAAGCAGGUCAUAGUGAUCCGGUGGUUCUGAAUGGAAGGGCCAUCGCUCAACGGAUAAAAGGUACUCCGGGGAUAACAGGCUGAUACCGCCCAAGAGUUCAUAUCGACGGCGGUGUUUGGCACCUCGAUGUCGGCUCAUCACAUCCUGGGGCUGAAGUAGGUCCCAAGGGUAUGGCUGUUCGCCAUUUAAAGUGGUACGCGAGCUGGGUUUAGAACGUCGUGAGACAGUUCGGUCCCUAUCUGCCGUGGGCGCUGGAGAACUGAGGGGGGCUGCUCCUAGUACGAGAGGACCGGAGUGGACGCAUCACUGGUGUUCGGGUUGUCAUGCCAAUGGCACUGCCCGGUAGCUAAAUGCGGAAGAGAUAAGUGCUGAAAGC
RNAcentral lists this ribosomal RNA (2179 nucleotides) under Escherichia coli. RNAcentral's name for it is "partial 23S ribosomal RNA". It matches the Rfam family "Bacterial large subunit ribosomal RNA", at positions 614 to 2778 of the family's 2925-position model. The record is from RNAcentral. Lineage: Bacteria; Pseudomonadati; Pseudomonadota; Gammaproteobacteria; Enterobacterales; Enterobacteriaceae.